This is a regulatory RNA element of Jeotgalibacillus soli, 75 nucleotides long. NCBI's taxonomy places the organism in Bacteria, Bacillati, Bacillota, Bacilli, Caryophanales, Caryophanaceae. The record is from Rfam.
CCCGUGCUACAACCGCACAUUACAGGUUUAAGAGCCGAAAAGCCACCUGGUUAGAUGGCGAGUCUGAGUGAAUAA